CACAUGCUGUUUAUCCAUCUGUCUAUCUAAAUAUUGCAUUGUGUGAAAUCAAUGCAAAUGUGCACCAUUUUCAACACAAUCAGAAAGGUAGCUCUAGAUACAUCUGCAACCAUCUCCUCUAUAUCCCUGUGGAUAUUAUAAAUGCUAUGAAGAAUGCAAACAAACUGAAUUGGAGCUACACUGGAUGCAAAUCUCCAGGAGUAUUAUGGCCAUCGUCACCCACAGCCUCUGGGCUGGGUGGGUCUGGAGGGGAAGGAAACAGGAAGGAGGGCAGACAGAGCUUGAAAACAAAAUUGUAGGCCCUGUUCCACUGGAACUGCUGGACCCCCCGUCGCACGGCACCGAUUGCACAAGUCGAUUCUUGGCAUUGCAGAUACACAAAUGAAAGGAGUCAGUGCAAGGGGAACUUAGGGCAAGAAUGUCGACCGUUAUUGGAAAUCCUCCAGAACAAAAGCCAGAAACCAUACUGUGCAACAGGAACUGUCAAAAUCUGCACCAAUCAGUUACAGCAUGUUAAAGAAAGACAAUGCGUAGUGCCGGCCCUCGCGUGUGGAGGUGGACCUUGAAGAAUGGAUGCAAGAAAACUUAAUGAAAAUAAGUGGAACAGCUGCAAGGUACCAGGCAGAUGUGCUUCACCAUGCAUCUCCAUCUGGAACCUCACCCUGGAAAUGAAAAUCAUUGCAAUAUUAUGAGUCAAUAUGGGAAAGCACAUUGUGAAUUACAUUGACAGAAAAAAAAAUAAACAUUAUUAUUCAAACAUUUGUGAGUACAUUGAUGUGUUUGCAUAAACCAUCCAUUGCAUUCUUAAUAUGCUGUAGGCUUGAUUCUCAAACUCCUACUGUAAAAUCUGUUACUAACUGACAUACUAUGAUACAAAUGUUCCAGAUUUCAUUCACAGGCAAUUCUCAAACUUACAUAUGUAUGGUCUCUAUGUUUGUAUUGAGUCCAGUGUAGUCAUAUGCAAAUUACUGUAUACAGACAUAUAAAGGUUUCUAAUAAUCUUUAUGUAUACUAAAUUGCUGAGUUUAUUUCUAUAUUAUCAGUAAAUGCAACAGUCAACUUAUUGAAACUUAAUUAAACAUCUGUUUUAAGCAAGGGUGACAAUAACAUGUGGCUUUGUGAUGCUCAGACUAAAGGCUGUAUAAACUGUUAAUAAAUUCCUGAUAAGUAAAAGGAAUACUUCACGUGUAUACAAUUAUAAACUAUUUUAACCAUUACUUAUCCACAAGCCUGCCUUCUCCCAGCUUUCAUAUGGCUGGUCUUGCCCUAAGAUCUGUACUGGCAAGUGCAAGGUUGGAACCUCAUUCUCCAACUUUGCAUUGGUUUGCCUUUUCCUGUCGAUUGACACAACGCUUCAGUAUGUUGAUGUCUGUGUGUAUGCCAGUGACACUGGCAUGCUGUUUUUUAAACACUGAAGUGAUGCCCAUUCUAUCAAGCUUGCCAAAGAUGUAUGGAUGUUUUCAUAUUCUGGAAAAUUGUCAAGUCUUAUUUAGUUAAAUGUAACUUACAUCUUGACGUCAUCAAUAAAAAUAAAAAAGGUAUACUUGUACGUUAAGAUUUAAUUUUGUCCUAUAUAAACCAUAGAAGGCAUUUUGUGUCAAUAGUCCACUUCUCUUCUUCCACUUCUACUGCUAUUGGAAACUCACAGGGUUCUAUUUUAGGCACACUGCUGCUUCAUGUAUACCUGCUGUGCUUGGGAAACAGAUUUAUCAUAUGGUAUUAUGUGAAAUGAGUUUCCAAUUUACUGAAUGAUAUUAGAAUGUAUAUGUAAAUUAAUGGUAAUGGUUUAGGCUGGUUGUUUUAUGCUGUUUGUUUACUCCAGUGGUGUUGGGUGCUGUGUUAUCAAAAUGUGUUUACUCUAAUACCCCGAAUAAUCCACAUUCUUGAAACGUGCACCUUUUCUGUGGGAUGAGAAUAAAACUAGUAACAAUAAAUAAGGUUACCUAAGAUCCAAGUUAUGUGUUACAUUAGCUGUUCGAUUUUCCUUUCACAAAAAAUGGUGAAUAGAUAAUAAAUGGCAGACGUCAGAGUAGUUCUGCAGACUGCAUAGACACAAAUUGUUGGUCCAGCAAAAAGUGUAGACUGUAUACCAAGGGUGGCAACUCCAUUCUAGGUUUAAUAGGUGUAAUUAAGUGAUUUUGCUUUAGGAGCUGGUCAGGGGUUUAAUGGGUUCAAUUAUGGACAUGGUCAGAAGAAAGACCUGGGAUGGAAGUACAGAGGCUGCCUUCCCCUGAUUUCUACUGUUUGGAACUUGUAUUUAUUUAGUAAAUGAAUGUAUUUUCAUUAAAGAGUAAGUAACUUAAAAUGUCAUCAUUGAUUUUUUAUACGUUUCACUUCCUACUUUAUGGUGUUUGCUAUCAUUCUGAGUGCUUCUGUGUUCUAUUACUGAGUUACUCUGUAUCUAUACCAAUGUAGAGUAGGUGGGAUGGACUGAGUUACUCUGUGUCUAUACCAAUGUAGAGUAGGUGGGAUGGACUGAAUUACUCUGUGUCUAUACCAAUGUAGAGUAGGUGGGAUGGACUGAAUUACUCUGUGUCUAUACCAAUGUAGAGUAGGUGGGAUGGACUGAGUUACUCUGUGUCUAUACCAAUGUAGAGUAGGUAGGAUGGACUGAGUUACUCUGUGUCUAUACCAAUGUAGAGUAGGUGGGAUGCUCAGCCAGUA
This is a long non-coding RNA of Acipenser ruthenus (sterlet), 2664 nucleotides long. RefSeq lists it as uncharacterized. NCBI's taxonomy places the organism in Eukaryota, Metazoa, Chordata, Actinopteri, Acipenseriformes, Acipenseridae. The transcript is spliced from 3 exons. The record is from RefSeq and is a predicted model, not a curated record.